RNAcentral lists this long non-coding RNA (360 nucleotides) under Nicotiana benthamiana. RNAcentral describes it as "long non-coding RNA (NBEN_LNC025757)". Lineage: Eukaryota; Viridiplantae; Streptophyta; Magnoliopsida; Solanales; Solanaceae. The record is from RNAcentral.
UAUUAGGCAGACUAUAAGAGGGACCAGGAUCAAAUUGUUGCCCCCUCUUUUCCAGUUCAUGCAUGACUGCUUUGCCCCUAUUACCUGUACUGUCCAACUGCUCAUCAUCUGUAAUACCAACCAUAUGUGCUGCAACAAUUUGGUUUUCUGACUCUUUUGGCUCACUAUUCCCUGCAUUUUGAAUGCUAACGUCCUGAGUUGCCUGCACUUCAUGUCCAGCUGAUUCUUCAGAGCCAACUUGUUUAUUCUGCACUUCAUCAUUGGACACAGUCUUCUUAACAAUCCACUCCUUCUUAUUGUGCUUCCCCUGAUAAGUGUUCCUGCUUUGCAGAUUCUUUCUUUCCCCUUGCUCCUGUUUUU